RNA transcript from Penaeus chinensis, 5258 nucleotides. It is a transcript of the gene named sulfotransferase 1C4-like, with no coding region annotated. The transcript is spliced from 4 exons. The record is from RefSeq and is a predicted model, not a curated record. NCBI's taxonomy places the organism in Eukaryota, Metazoa, Arthropoda, Malacostraca, Decapoda, Penaeidae.
UCCACUGAAACUUUUUCAGAAAAAAUAAGGGACGAACAAGAGCAAGAACAUUACCAUUACCCCCCUCCCUCCAUCCCUCCCCUUCUGACCCACUAUGGCCACGUACAGUACCCUUCUCUCACUGAUUAACAUUCUCUCUACAUUGCACAUGGCAAUGCUGUUUGGCCAGAUCCAAAGGCAACAACAUAUGCUUCAAAUUCCCUUAAUUCUUUUGAGUUUCAACUGCCAGUUUCAUGAAGGUCUGUUUUGAGAAAGAAAUGUUCGGUCUAUCGACAUUUACGGUGAUAAUAAUUAAGUAGAAAGAGGAUAAUUUUACCGACUGGUAAACAUCGACCGGGCGAUGCCAAUUAUAGUAUAGAUUUCAUACCUGUUACAAAAUUACAAAGUUAGUGAGGACAACGUCAUGUUUAACAUUAAUUUUCCUUUGAAUAUUGAGUAUUUAGUAUUCUGGCUAGCUAAAGGAUUGCAUUAAAGCAUCUGACAAAUCAGACAUGACGAAUGAUUGGAGCCAGAUAUUGUUUCUGUAACACAUGGUGAAUAAUUAUAGCCAUAUUUUGUUUUCAGUAUCAAUAAGGAUUUGAAGGAAUUAAUAAGAUGAAAAAGUAAGCAACUAUGACCAGAAUUUUUCACUUUAUUAAAAGUCUUAAUAUUCAUACCUAUAUAUAUAUAUAUAUAUAUAUAUAUAUAUAUAUAUAUAUAUAUCACUCUUUUCUUCUCCAGCCACUUUUAAGAACAGUGCUAGUCUGUACUUCACGAUAAACAGUACACGGGACUCUCGACGCAGCUAGCUAUGCUGGUGCGGGGGGUCGACCGUGCUAGGAAUAUACCACAUUUCCACAUCAUCACGGGACGGACACACUAUAAGAUACCGUGGAACAGACAGGUUAUUGUGGUAUAUGUUCCGUGUGGGUGAAUUGAUGUUCAGUUUUUCGAGAUAUGUUUGAACUGUUUAGAGUAUUUCUUUCAUUAUUGAGGAGUAUUCGCAUUGAACAUGAAGGAAAUAUGAAGUUCUGUCCCAAAGGUUUUGUUAAAUUUGCGAUGUUUGGACUAUUUUUUCUGUGUUCCUGACGUUGGACUGGAAAAAAGAAUUGGUUCUCAACAAUUAUAUAUGUUUGCAUUACGUUUUAAAAGACAAUCAUAGGGAAUUUUCGAUGCCAAUGUGAGGUACCAAACGCUGUCUCAGAGUUAUCUUUCAAUGAUGAAUAAUGGCUAGCAACACUUUUCUUAAUCCGAGUACAGUGUGAGCAAGAAAAAGUUUCUGAGUGUGAAAUAUGAACAGGCUUUACGAGAUCUCAAGAUGAACUGUCCCCUCGCCCCUGCCCUUUACAUGACACUCAGCCUCCUAACAAUAAUUGAGUGUGUGCUGACGAUAUUUAUAUACAUUAUGGAGAGACGUCUGAGGAAAAGGACAACAAGCCCUUUCGUAUACAGUCUAGCAGUUAGCAUCGCUUUGCUAUCAGCCAUUUCUUUCAUUUUUAACGUCAAGCUUCUUUUUGAUUCGUGUCGAAACAAACGAACCAUAGAAUGGUGCGUUGUUUUAUCUAUAUUUCUGAGGUACCUGCACGUCGUCUCUUGCUUCUGCGUGACCUGCCUGGCGCUGUACCGAUAUCUGUACCUGUGCUGGCCCCUCCACUACCCGAUGCUCGUCACCAAGCGCCGUUGUUGCUACGUCACUUUAGCCUGCUGGACGCUGCCCAUCGCCCUGGUCGCCGUUCCGUCUGCGAUCGACGGUCAGGCUCCGUGCGCUGACAUGCGGGUGACAGUCUCCUUCUAUGCCACCUACAUUGCUCUGUACAUCUCAGGAGCCCUCGCCACCUUUGUUGCAUACUUCCUGGUGGCGCUGGAGUUCAGGAGGAAGCGCCACGCGUUGGCACUCAGCAGCGAUGUGGCGAGGAGCGACCGCCUCGUGAAAGGGAGAACCGAGAGGUCCGCGCUCUCGGUUCUCGCCCUCUACGCUGUCCUGUCUCUGCCUCACAUAAUAAUGUUGUUGGUGACGCGGAUGAGCAACGGCCGAGCAUCCGCAGUGAACCUGGACAGCGCCUCCUUACUAAACAGGCUUCACUUACUGCUGUUCCUCCCCUUCUAUGCCUGGGCGAACAAACUCUUCCGCACCGCACUCAUCACUCGAGCCAGAAAGAUGUUCUGUAGAAAGUAUAAUGCCGAUAGCCUCCGUCUUCGAAAGGAAGGUAUGGGCAGGAUGAUUGUGGUCCGCUGUGAAUUGUAUGGGCUGUCGUUAUCAUGUAUACGUGUUGUAUAAUUCGACCCAAGUUACUUUAUGUACAGACUCAUGAUCUGCAGCAGAGGAAUGCAGUGCGUGUCAUGACUGAGUUGUUGCAUGUAAUGAAUAGUGACGUGUUGCUCGACGAGACUGGUGUGCUGCAUGUAAUGGAAUAUUCUACAUGGUGACGAAUAUGGUGAUGGACUUGUUGCCUGGCGGAUCCCUUUGCUGUCAGGCCAUGCCUCGCAAUAAAUUCUGAAAAUAAAUCUACUUGCUGAAUAACCAUACAUUUAUAUAUGCAUGCAUAUAUGUGCGCGUAACCACAUUAACACAUAAGUACACAUUCGCAUACAUACUACAUACGUACAUGUGCAAACCCACACAAACACACGCCCGCACACUCAUACACGCACCUGUAUUCAGACAAAUCAAAACAGCGUAAAACCUUACUUGAAGCUCACACUUUCAGAACUGAAACUAAAGGCUUACUUGUUGCACAUGAUUCCACCGGCUUGUUAUUAGAGAUUAUUAUACAAAUCAACUGAAAAAAAUUAAACAUUACAGAUACCACCUCUACACACACCUAGGGGAGACUAAUCUAAUCACGAUACAUAUAACAAAUGAUUGGUUUUGUAAUGUUCCCGACUAGACCUGGCCUUUUCAUUAUUUAUAUUAAAGAUAUGUCUGCAACUGACUUGGGGAUUACACACCAAAUAAGCAAGGCUAUUUUUUCUCCUAAAUUAUCGAUGGCACUUUUUAACAAAUGUUAUUUAUAUGAAUACAUAUAAGACACAAUCAUACCACAUUCCUUUAGUUAUGUAACUGUGACAGAGCAAAGCACACACAGAUGACAGAGACGUAGUCAUAAAAAAAGUCUAAUUCAAAGUGCUCUAAAAUAUAUCACUUGCCCAAGAGUGUAAGAUACCUCCCUCACCUUUGAUCAUAAAGUAACACCCAUUGUGAUCAUACAAAGGACUACAAGCAUAGCGUAUUAUUAGUCUAACAAACCCAAUCCUCAACGAGAAUGAAAUUUAUGUAAGAAGUUUAACAAAUUUCAUAAAAAAAAAAAAGGUUCCAAUAUUGAAGGCAUCACAGGCUUGCGUAUUAUGAAGUCUUCCUGAAUCGUUUUCUUAAAAAAAAAAAAAAGAAUAAAUGAAUAAAUAAAUAAAAUUUUAAAUCGCACGUUUACUAACCUUUGAUACCUGAAUUAGGAAUAGAUUAUUGAAUAGAAUAAACGAAUAAAAACAUUAAAUGCAGUCAUAGAUAUUGUGUGAAAGCAGACGAAAGAGAAGUAGAGACGGGAAAGAACUGACGAGGAGGAAGAGGAUGGUGUAAAGAAGAAAGAAGAGAAGGAGAAAUCGAAAGAAAAGUGAGAAAAGAGAGAAAAAGAAAGGACGUAGAUAUAUAAAUGCUGACUGCCAGGGAGGAGGAGGAUGGCGUAGAAAGGAAAGAGGAAGAGAAGGAGAGGAGGGGAAAAAGAAAAAGACGUAGAUAGAAUUGUUUUGCGCCCGAGGAAAACCUUACAGCAGGAAGCGAAAUAAUAACCAUUACAAAUUUAUUGGUCCUGUAAAUUUCUAAAAACUGAAAUGUAUUUUUCCCAAACCGCACAGCAAUAGCGGAAACGCUAAAUUAAUCAAUACCAGCAGUGAUAUAUACAUGUAUAACUAUAUACAUAUAUAUAUAUAUAUAUAUAUUCUAUAAUAUAGUAUUCUAAAUUGGUUUACCUGUAAACAUCUCCAUCAUAUAAAUACACAAAUCUAUAUUUGAAUUAUUUAAUACAAUAUUCUAAAUGGACUGACAUAUAAUUACAUAUAUUAUGUAAAUACACCAAAACGAUGAAUAAAUUCGUAAAUCAUGUUAAUAUACGAUUACGAAUCGCAUUUUCUAAACUUGGAACCUGACUAAUUUCCACGGGCAUGGGAGAGCUCGGAGGAAAAACAUUAAGGCCUUUCACAAUCACGUUUGGAUUUUUUUUAAUAAUAUAUGUUGCGUAAAUGGGAGUGUCUCUUAUUUAGAAUUCUUUCCUGAAUAGAAGGAUUGAAAAACACGCAUUGUUUUUUUCUCUCUCUUUUUUUUUUUUUUUUUUUGUGUAAAUUAAGUAAUUUGUCGUUUGGUUAAUGUUUGAGGGGUUGAGGGAAAGAGUUUAAGAACCACUGCUAUAGAACAAGAGAUGCAUAUGGUUGUCAUUGGUUGUCUUGUAUGCAUAAUGUACUUGUUAUAACGUACUCUGUAAGUGAUUGGUAAUUUUGUUGGAAGGGUACACGAAUAAAUAUAUAUAUUUUUUUUUUUAUCAACAAAUCAGAUUCAUGUUCCGUCCAUGAAACCUGCUCACUGGAAUAAGUUUUUAUAGUCUUAAGGAAGAGGUAAAAAAAUUUCCUUCAUAGCCAUCUUAUGCUCCUUCAGUUGUAGGAUUUUGAUCAUUCAGGAUUACCAGGAAUUAAAAAGGUUGUUCAGUUUACUGAUGUAAAUUCUACGUGAUAUUUUGUUUUCUCAUGUCUAUAAGUCUAAAACACUGAACAAGUAUCAAUGAAAAAAAAUAAUUGCACAAACCUUGGCCAAAAAAGAUCUUAGGGCCCUGGCCGGUAAGUUCGAUUAUCACUUAUCAGGCAGUGUGACGCAGGUCUUCCCAUGUGUUCCCUUCUCUUAUUGGUUAAUAUUCUAACCGUUUUCGUCCACCACGGCUUCCCAUUGGUUGUACCGCCCUUCGAUUAUGAAGGCACGAAUUUAAAAGUACCUGUCUUCGUCCGAUACUUCACUUGCCUUAUUGAUUAUUGACUGUUGAGUAUGAAAACGUUCUAGUGCCUUACUCUGCACGAGAUGACAAGGGCGAUACUCACGGCAUUUGUCAUUAGAGUAUAGACCGAACUGCGGUCUUUUUUAUUGAGCUAAAGAUGCGCUUGAAGGUAGCACGAAUCACUACUACUGCACUGCAUAAGCGCAAGAGAAAGACCGUGCACUGUUCCAUUUCUCCUGACCGAGAACACUCUUCCACGCCGCUGCCACCACAUGAAAAACAGUGAAUUGCACAAAUUGGACGCAG